CGUGUAGGCGGUUUGUCAAGUCGGGUGUGAAAGCCUGGGGCUCAGCCCCAGAAGUGCAUCCGAAACUAGCGAGCUAGAGCGCGAUAGAGGAGGGUGGAAUUCCUGGUGUAGCGGUGAAAUGCGUAGAUAUCAGGAGGAACACCGGCGGCGAAGGCGGCCCUCUGGAUCGUUGCUGACGCUGAGACGCGAAAGCGUGGGAGCAAACAGGAUUAGAUACCCUGGUAGUCCACGCCUUAAACGAUGGGUACUAGGUGUUCGGGGUGUUGACCCCCUGAGUGCCGCAGUUAACGCAUUAAGUACCCCGCCUGGGGACUACGGCCGCAAGGUUAAA
RNAcentral lists this ribosomal RNA (331 nucleotides) under uncultured bacterium. Its description in RNAcentral is "bacterial SSU rRNA". It matches the Rfam family "Bacterial small subunit ribosomal RNA", at positions 568 to 898 of the family's 1533-position model. The record is from RNAcentral.